GCCUUCGUAGCUCAGGGGAUAGAGCAACCCUCUCCUAAAGGGUAGGUCGCAGGUUCGAAUCCUGCCGAGGGCAC
Molecule: transfer RNA, 74 nt
Filed under: Rhodococcus opacus
Lineage: Bacteria; Bacillati; Actinomycetota; Actinomycetes; Mycobacteriales; Nocardiaceae
Also listed under: 7 other names
Description: tRNA-Arg(cct)
Rfam family: tRNA
About the family: Transfer RNA (tRNA) molecules are approximately 80 nucleotides in length.
Source: RNAcentral